RNAcentral lists this ribosomal RNA (251 nucleotides) under uncultured bacterium. RNAcentral describes it as "partial 16S ribosomal RNA". It matches the Rfam family "Bacterial small subunit ribosomal RNA", at positions 526 to 776 of the family's 1533-position model. The record is from RNAcentral.
CGUAGGGUGCAAGCGUUAAUCGGAAUUACUGGGCGUAAAGCGUGCGCAGGCGGCUAUGCAAGACAGAUGUGAAAUCCCCGGGCUCAACCUGGGAACUGCAUUUGUGACUGCAUGGCUAGAGUACGGUAGAGGGGGAUGGAAUUCCGCGUGUAGCAGUGAAAUGCGUAGAUAUGCGGAGGAACACCGAUGGCGAAGGCAAUCCCCUGGACCUGUACUGACGCUCAUGCACGAAAGCGUGGGGAGCAAACAGG